Molecule: ribosomal RNA, 119 nt
Filed under: Pteropus alecto (black flying fox)
Lineage: Eukaryota; Metazoa; Chordata; Mammalia; Chiroptera; Pteropodidae
Source: RNAcentral
AUCUAUGGCCGUGCCACCCUGAGCAAGCCGGAUCCUGUCUGAUCUCAGAAGCUAAGCAGGGUCAGGCUUGGUUAGUACUUGGAUGCGAGACCACCUAGGAAGACCAGGUGCUGUCGGCG